Non-coding RNA from Meleagris gallopavo (turkey), 2436 nucleotides. NCBI's taxonomy places the organism in Eukaryota, Metazoa, Chordata, Aves, Galliformes, Phasianidae. The record is from RefSeq and is a predicted model, not a curated record.
UUCCCAAGAUGACAGACCAUAACUGCAUCGCCUUUUGGAACGUGAAAAGCAGAUCGUGGCAAGGCUCAAGAAAACAGUGACCAUUUGGAUCCUGGAGAGAAGCCCGACUGCUUCAUUAAAGAAGAGUUGUCACAUGCUUGUUUCUUAAAUCCUGCUAAAUACCUGCUUAGCAGCGUUAUUGACAGGCUUUUCUCAUGAACACUGAGCUGUUAAGCUGCUCCUAGUUUACAGCAAGAGGUUAAAGGAUUUUUCAAAGCUCCCAAUGAAAGCCUUACUAACUGGAUUAACCGCUAACAUGGAUUUAGGCUUUGAGUCAGAUUAACCUCAGUUGUUCAAAGUAGGUUCCUCUUGCUCGUUCCUUCUUCCCUUUUUCUUCUCUUUUUUUUCCCUCUCAGCUUUAACCUCUUUGUUUAUCAGGAAUAAUGGAAAUAAAAUAGUCUCUUGUGCUUGUGUUUGAGCAGGGGGUCACCGUGUGCUCCUAGGGCUGGGAAGAACAGGGCUGCAGCUCCAGGAUGUGAAAUGAGACUGAAGCAGCAGCUUCACAGCGCCGGGGACCUGCAGUUAAUCUCAUUUACGCUGUACUUAAACGUGUACUUCUUUAGAUGUGAGGAGGACUUUUGCAUUAUCUGCUCUCCUGCUGAUUAUUUCUACUAUUGCGCUGCUUUCUGCACUAGGGUAUGCAUGCAUUUGCGAGCAGGCUACAGUCAGACCAUCCACUGCCUCAUUUGGAGGUGCUUUUCCCUGCUCACUACUGUGCAGGGGCAACGUUCCAGAGCUGCUUUCUGAAGUCAGAAUCUGUUUCAACUCAUUCCACAGUAGCUGCAGUGCAGGAAUCUCUUAGGAAGUGCUAAAGGAUAGUGUGUGGAGGAGCAGCACACACCAGUGUGGGCCCUCUUGCCCUACCAAACUGGCAUGCAUGUUGAUUCCCAGCCCAGAGCCAGCACUUCUAUUGUUUUUCUGUCAUCUGCUCACUGCAUCAUUCAGCCCUCUCAAUCAUCUUUUCGUCCCAGCUCACACAGGUUGUGUGGUGACAACAUGAGGCUCAGCACGUGGGGGUCAGGGCAAGGAAUCACAGUGCUUGGCUGUUCCUGGGGAGCGAGCCUUCAGCUGGGGCACUUUAGCAGUGCUGGUGUGUCCCUGGGAUAGAGCUCUCUCUCUCAUUUAAACCAAAAUAUAAGACAUCUCUGCGCAGUGUGUGUACUCCAUUUAAUAGCAGCUGAUGAAUUUAUCACCUAAAAUGCAUCCAGGGCCUCUUGCUCUGCUCUGUGGCUAUCCCCAUCUCACGCUGUUUCAACUCAUUGAGCUGACCCUGUUUUCUCAUUCCCCUUGAAUGUCGAUCAGCUCUCCUGUGUUUUUUUUAUGUGCGUGCUUCUUAAUCUCACAUCCUUUGACUCCCUCCCAGCUGCCUUUAUCCCAGUCUAAUCCAUUUGUAUCUGAAUCUCUGGCCCUCAUUUCUGAUUUUCCCUCCACCUCCUCACCCCCACCACUCAUCUCUCUAAUCUCCCAGCCCACCAUCUUCCCUCCAUUGCUGGGGGCAGCUCCUCCUCUCCCCCUCCCAGCAUAGCAGGACCCCUUGCUCUGCCCCAAACUUCUCUCAGCUGCUCAGCAUCAGCCUGGUCCCGACUCAUUGCUGCCAGGUGGUUCCCUCACAGAUUUCCUUUACUGAUUUCCUCCCAGCUCUCACUAUGCAUCCCUUAGGGGAACCUGUGUCACUCAUUCUGUGUGUUCCGUCAGCAAGUACUGAUUUCUUCAAAGCGAUCACUCCAGGUGUGUGACACAGUUAAUGCUGUCACCCAGAGGCUCUGCAGGACCUUUUCCAAAGUUUAAAUGAACUCUGAAGCAUGCAGUGCUGGCUCUGUGGUUGUGACUCACCUGGGCAGAAGGAUACUUCAACUUAAUCCCCGGAGGUUUGUCAUCAAAUAUCCUCAUUCGUGACCCCCCCCAAGGAAAAGGUAAAAGAGCUGCUUUUCAGUCUCUUCUGUCCAGGAGAUUCAGCACUUUCAGAAAUGAGUUGUUUGAAGAGGUCCCAAACACCUGUGCCCAGGAACCUGAAUUGAUCCUGUAAGCUUCCCAUGGAAAGAUCUAGACUCUCCAAGGACAUCUCAGUCUACCAGAGUGCAGCAGCCUGAAUUGUGCUGAAGUGGGCAAAUUAAGGGAAUAAGGGCGUGCUGCAACCAUCAGCAGAAGUGUAAUUGGCUCUUCCCAUGUGCCUGCCAUCACAAGCUUCAUAGCAGAUAGAAAAUGAGAAACUAAUCCUCCUGCUGGCACAGCUUUGGCUCUACAUUCACUUCUGUGUCGGAGGUGACCACUGUGCUGCGUGCUGACCUCCUGCACACAGCCAUGGGGCUCAUUUACUGAUGCUGGAGAAUUCUGUCUCCUGGAGACCUGGCCAAUGUGAUCAGAAGAACUCACAGGUGGUAUUGUAGAAAAGGUUUG